Molecule: ribosomal RNA, 252 nt
Filed under: uncultured bacterium
Lineage: Bacteria
Description: partial 16S ribosomal RNA
Rfam family: Bacterial small subunit ribosomal RNA
Source: RNAcentral
UACGUAGGGGGCAAGCGUUAUCCGGAAUUAUUGGGCGUAAAGAGUGCGUAGGUGGUUUGGUAAGCGUGAGGUGAAAGGCAAUAGCUUAACUAUUGUAAGCCUUGCGAACUGCCAGACUUGAGUGCAGGAGAGGAAAGUGGAAUUCCUAGUGUAGCGGUGAAAUGCGUAGAUAUUAGGAGGAACACCAGUGGCGAAGGCGACUUUCUGGACUGUAACUGACACUGAGGCACGAAAGCGUGGGGAGCAAACAGG